Molecule: RNA transcript, 1936 nt
Organism: Poecile atricapillus (Black-capped chickadee)
Lineage: Eukaryota; Metazoa; Chordata; Aves; Passeriformes; Paridae
Gene name: chemokine-like protein TAFA-2
Exons: 6
Source: RefSeq, a predicted model, not a curated record
UCAAGUCUUCCCUCCAUUCCCAAUUACUUCACCCUUCCUCUAGCAUCUCUUAGCCGGAUUCCUGGUGUAUUCCCAGAGAGGAGUGGGGAGAGAGCCGGGCCCCGCGGAGGCUGCUGCCCCAGCCCGGCCGAGCCUAGGGGAGCCGAGCGGAGUGCGGCACGGCGCCGCUCCAUGCCCCCGAGCGCUGGCGGGGCGCGGGGCGUGUGCCGGCGAUGCCCGGGCGGUAAGGCUGGAGCUGCCCCCGGACGGGAGGCGGCCGAUCGCUAGGCGCUUCUAGCAAGAAUCGGGACUGCAGGAUGAAUAAGAGAUACUUACAGAAAGCAACAAAGGGAAAACUGCUAAUAAUAAUAUUUGUUGUAACGCUGUGGGGGAAAUUAGCAUCUGGGGCAAAUCACCAUAAAGCUCACCAUGUUAAAACUGGGACAUGUGAAGUGGUGGCUCUUCACAGAUGCUGCAAUAAGAAUAAGAUAGAAGAAAGAUCACAGACAGUGAAGUGUUCCUGCUUCCCUGGGCAGGUAGCAGGUACCACCCGGGCAGCUCCUUCUUGUGUUGAUGCUUCAAUAGUGGAGCAGAAAUGGUGGUGCCACAUGCAACCAUGUCUUGAAGGGGAGGAAUGUAAAGUUCUUCCAGAUCGUAAGGGAUGGAGCUGUUCCUCUGGGAAUAAAGUGAAAACAACUAGGGCAAACGUGUAAAACUCCUCAAGUCCGAAUGGAGAAGUAGAGAAAGGAGGUUUCUGCUGUGCCUGAUGACAAUUUUUGUUUUUCCACACACAAAAAAUAUUCUGGCUCCACGUUGGAGCACUAGUUGUGAUGAAUCCUAGUCUUGGUCGGAUUCUAAGGAAGGGCCAGAACGUUCGUUGAGGAAUAAAGAAUAAACCACUCCAGAAAAUGAGUUCCAGCCCCGGUUUAUUACUCACAGAGCAGCAGGUAACCCGAUAGCUAAAGACAUAUCAAACCAGUCUCAAGGCUGAUAACAUUAAAUACAGCACAUAGGAAUUUCAUUCCUCCAGGCAAUCCUUGAAGAGAAAUUUUAUACUGCUGGGGUGUAUCCUUCAGAAUCAAUUGUUUCAAUGAGAACCUGGCUUGUAAUCAGCAACAGCCUUGAGAUCCAAACUACUGGAAAGUUAUUUUGAACUUCUGUGUUACAAAUAUUUCAACUGAUUGAACUGUGUACACUUGUAAAAUUGCACUUGCUGAGGAAUUUGCAGCUGUAAUCAUGAGCCAAUAUUCUAAAGGUGCAGAAAAGCAGCAAACUUUUGAGUUCUCCAUUGCAGAUCAGUGGCUUUUCAUCUUGAAGAAGUCAACCUCUGAAAUGUAUUGGAUCCUUCACUUUAAAAUGAUCCCUGGUCCACUGUUCAGAUUGCUGGUGGGACUGCACACUGCUUUAAUUAAAUUUCUGUUGCAGAAAUUGUCCUCUGGCAUGGCGCAGUUUUAGACAUUUUUAUUUGUGUUCUAAUCUUGCAGCUCUCAAAGGUACAUAUUUAAAUAUCUUGAAGUUGCUUUGUUAUAGGAAUGGAAUUAUAUAUCCAUUGUUAAUAAUUAUUGUUGACAAGUAAUAGUUAUAUGAAUACAUCAGUCAUAUUAGAAUGUAUAGUCAGGUUGACAUGUUUCCCUAAGGCUAACCAACUACUGCAGCUUAACAGUUAAAGAAAGUAGUGGUCAAAAACUCAAUUACCACUUCUGUUAUAAGGCAUUUUAUGUGUUUAAUAUAUACAUUUCCAUUUAGUUCAAAGGAAAUGGUUAUUCCCAAUAUGUACUUUACUUUCCUAACCUUUAAUUCAUUUAAAUUGAUGGUAAGCAGUCAAUUACACUAUUUCAUCCCUUUUUUAUAAAGGUAGGCAGGGAUGUAAAUGAGUUUUGCAAUUAUGAUAUUGGAUGGUAAUCAUUCAGAAUUUUUGUCUUUUUAUUAAAAAAUAAAAUCUAUUGCUUGAACCUAA